CGGGGCCGUCGCGAGGUCUGCUCUAAAAGGGCGUCGUGGGGUGUAGGUUGCGGCAGCGCGCUGGCGGUUGGAAGUGGGGCGGAGCGCCGACGGUGAGACAUAGGGCGGCAGCCGCGGCGACAAUAGGUGGCGGCGCGCAUGGAGGAAGGAGGUCGGGGUCACGCGGUGGAGGAUGGAGGCCGUGGCCGCACCGUUGGGGAGGGAGGUCGGGCGUCACGCCAUCGAUGUGAUGGCCGGCCGCAGGAAGUGCGGCCCGAGAGCCGGCGGCGGCAAUGGUAGGCACGACGGCAUUGGGGACGGGCCACGCGUGAACGCGGAGCAGCAGCAAGCUCUGGGUGCGAGCUCGUCCGUUGUACUCCGUUUCGUGGAGGCGUUGGAGCGGAGCGCACCUGGCUGAACAAUGGUGCUCCCCUGCCGUCUCCCUCCAUUGGAGCUGCUGGUACUGAUGAAGGAGCAAGGAUCGAGGACACGUCGAUGCAACUUCCGGAGUAUCUUGUUGAUGAAGUUUUCAUAACGUGGUCUCAAAGAUGUAGAUGAACAAUGAGCUUACCAGAUACACCACCUUUCGAUGAUACAAUUCAGAACUUCCAUAGCAAGAAGUGGUCAACAACCACGACAUGCAGCCUUUUCUAUGCCAAGAUCUUGUUCAAUUGUUAUUCGAGGUUCUUUAUAUCCUCAUCAUAUUUCAUGUAUAUCUGUUAAUUUUUGCUCAAAGGAGACUGGGAGGUGUUUCACUAUUAUGAAAUCUUUUAGCAUCGUGUUUGUUUAUUGAACUAUCUGCAUGCCUGAAUGUUUCGGUACCUAUUUCAGCAUGCUGGUGCAUUUUAAACCUAUUGGUGCUUUCUCACAACCAGAUAUUAUAGAUUUUGUACAACAAUUUAUUCGAUAGGCUUGCUUCUGAGUAUGUUGAUCAUAAACGAUCUGAAACGGGGCACUGAUUUUGUCCUUCUGCUUC
This is a non-coding RNA of Lolium perenne, 955 nucleotides long. The record is from RefSeq and is a predicted model, not a curated record. NCBI's taxonomy places the organism in Eukaryota, Viridiplantae, Streptophyta, Magnoliopsida, Poales, Poaceae.